Long non-coding RNA from Symphalangus syndactylus (siamang), 446 nucleotides. RefSeq lists it as uncharacterized. NCBI's taxonomy places the organism in Eukaryota, Metazoa, Chordata, Mammalia, Primates, Hylobatidae. The record is from RefSeq and is a predicted model, not a curated record.
ACAAGGAAUGGGGAGGAAGUAGAAACACGGUUCCGGUCUGGGGCUGAGUUUCAUCUUCCAAUCCAGGUUUUAUUGGGUUUUAAAACUUAAUUUUUGAAUACUCAUUUGACUCCUGUGCUUGUUUCUCAAUUGCUUCUGGACAUGGAGAGGAAAAGGGCACAUGAUGAUUUGGGAAAGAAAAAACAAAACAAACUUGAAUGUGGAAAUAUGAUCACUUAUGACAGAAGAGCUGAUGAUUAUUCAGAAAUAUAGUCAUCCACAUCUUUGAGAUAUUGGACUGGCAAAAAUAAAUGAAUUUCAUCUGAAGAGAAUUAACACAAGCAUACACAUAUACACAGGAGCGCACAUAAAAAUUAAUCUUCAAGAGGAUAGAAACGGGAUGGUGUAGUUCCUGCCAUGAAGUACAGGUCAACUGGUACCAGAAAUUCAAAAUUGUGGAAUGGAUC